GAUCAUUAACGCGCAGGCCGGAGGCUGGCCCCCCACGAUAGGGCCAAACGUCCGUCAGGGGUGAGCAGAUGUGCGCCGGCCGUACCGCCCCAUUCUUGUCUACCUUACUCGGUUGCCUCGGCGGGCCGCGCUCUCUCAGGAGAGCCGUUCGGCGAGCCUCUCUUUAGUGGCUCAACGCUGGACCGCGCCCGCCGGAGGACAGACGCAAAAAAAUUCUUUCAGAAGAGCUGUCAGUCUGAGCGUUAGCAAGCAAAAAUCAGUUAAAACUUUCAACAACGGAUCUCUUGGUUCCGGCAUCGAUGAAGAACGCAGCGAAAUGCGAUAAGUAAUGUGAAUUGCAGAAUUCCGUGAAUCAUCGAAUCUUUGAACGCACAUUGCGCCCCCUGGCAUUCCGGGGGGCAUGCCUGUUCGAGCGUCAUUUCAGCCCCUCAAGCCCGGCUUGUGUGAUGGACGACCGUCCGGCGCCCCCGUCUUUGGGGGUGCGGGACGCGCCCGAAAAGCAGUGGCCAGGCCGCGAUUCCGGCUUCCUAGGCGAAUGGGCAACAAACCAGCGCCUCCAGGACCGGCCGCCCUGGCCUCAAAAUCUGUUUUAUACUUAUCAGGUUGACC
RNAcentral lists this unclassified non-coding RNA (609 nucleotides) under Trichophyton mentagrophytes. RNAcentral describes it as "sequence contains 18S rRNA gene, ITS1, 5.8S rRNA gene, ITS2, 28S rRNA gene". The stretch from base 265 to 418 matches the Rfam family "5.8S ribosomal RNA". Lineage: Eukaryota; Fungi; Ascomycota; Eurotiomycetes; Onygenales; Arthrodermataceae. The record is from RNAcentral.